RNAcentral lists this ribosomal RNA (609 nucleotides) under Escovopsioides nivea. Its description in RNAcentral is "LSU rRNA". It matches the Rfam family "Eukaryotic large subunit ribosomal RNA", at positions 43 to 673 of the family's 3401-position model. The record is from RNAcentral. Lineage: Eukaryota; Fungi; Ascomycota; Sordariomycetes; Hypocreales; Hypocreaceae.
UCAAUAAGCGGAGGAAAAGAAACCAACAGGGAUUGCCCCAGUAACGGCGAGUGAAGCGGCAACAGCUCAAAUUUGAAAUCUGGCCCCUAGGGCCCGAGUUGUAAUUUGCAGAGGAUGCUUUUGGCGAGGCGCCGCCCGAGUUCCCUGGAACGGGACGCCGCAGAGGGUGAGAGCCCCGUCUGGCUGGCCGCCGAGCCUCUGUAAAGCUCCUUCGACGAGUCGAGUAGUUUGGGAAUGCUGCUCAAAAUGGGAGGUAUAUGUCUUCUAAAGCUAAAUAUUGGCCAGAGACCGAUAGCGCACAAGUAGAGUGAUCGAAAGAUGAAAAGCACUUUGAAAAGAGGGUUAAACAGUACGUGAAAUUGUUGAAAGGGAAGCGCUCGUGACCAGACUUGGCGCGGGGGGAUCAUCCGGCGUUCUCGCCGGUGCACUCCGCCCGCGCCAGGCCAGCAUCAGUUCGCGCCGGGGGACAAAGGCGGCGGGAAUGUGGCUCCUCCGGGAGUGUUAUAGCCCGCCGCGCAAUACCCUGGGGCGGACUGAGGACCGCGCAUUCGUGCAAGGAUGCUGGCGUAAUGGUCACCAGCGACCCGUCUUGAAACACGGACCAAGGAG